GCAGUGGUGGUUCAAUGGUAGAAUUCUCGGCUUCCAUGCAGAGACCCGGGUUCGAUUCCUGACCAAUGCA
RNAcentral lists this transfer RNA (70 nucleotides) under Loxodonta africana (African savanna elephant). It matches the Rfam family "tRNA". Rfam says of the family: Transfer RNA (tRNA) molecules are approximately 80 nucleotides in length. Their secondary structure includes four short double-helical elements and three loops (D, anti-codon, and T loops). The record is from Rfam by way of RNAcentral. Lineage: Eukaryota; Metazoa; Chordata; Mammalia; Proboscidea; Elephantidae.